CUUUCAAUAUGUUAAGAGUGUUAUAUGAUGCAGUGCUAGACCAGGUUUGCAUCCUGGUUGAUGCAGCUUUUUUCCUUCCCUGCAACAAUGCUCUGUAUAGCACACACACUAAGGGACGUGAAGACUUCCGGACAUCAGCAGUGUUUUCCAAUUGCACAAGCGCUGUGGUAUCAACUAAUAAAGUGCUGGAGGGCACUUUAUGCAACAAGAACUGUUUAACUGUAGAAGAAAACAGCCUUGGGCAUAAGCAGAGGUUUCUGAAAAGUGGCGCCUUUUGGGAGGAAAGGAGAAGCAGCCAAAUGGAAUCCCACUGUUAA
This 317-nucleotide long non-coding RNA is filed under the name Pogona vitticeps (central bearded dragon). RNAcentral's name for it is "lncRNA (ENSPVIG00000024012.1)". The record is from RNAcentral. Lineage: Eukaryota; Metazoa; Chordata; Lepidosauria; Squamata; Agamidae.